RNAcentral lists this ribosomal RNA (182 nucleotides) under uncultured bacterium. Its description in RNAcentral is "partial 16S ribosomal RNA". The record is from RNAcentral.
ACUGGGGUGAAGUCGUAACAAGGUAGCCSUMGGGGAACCAGCGGCUGGAYCACCUCCUUAAACGAUAGCGAGACUUUAGCAAGCGUUCACACGCAUUACUUGAUAAUUGAAGCAUGACUUCAAUUAGAUUGAUUGUUUUUAAAGCAUCAGCUUUAAACGCUCUUUAACAAUUUGGAAACUGU